Pseudoliparis swirei is the source of this 434-nucleotide long non-coding RNA. RefSeq lists it as uncharacterized. The record is from RefSeq and is a predicted model, not a curated record. NCBI's taxonomy places the organism in Eukaryota, Metazoa, Chordata, Actinopteri, Perciformes, Liparidae. The transcript has 3 exons.
AGAGACAGGUAGACAGACAGGUAGACAGACAGGGAGACAGACAGGUAGAGAGGUAGGCAGACAGACAGGGAGACAGACAGGUAGACAGACAGGCAGACAGACAGGGAGACAGACAGGUAGACAGACAGGUAGACAGACAGGGAGACAGACAGGUAGAGAGGUAGGCAGACAGACAGGGAGACAGACAGGUAGACAGACAGGGAGACAGACAGGUAGAGAGGUAGGCAGACAGACAGGGAGACAGACAGGUAGACAGACAGGGAGACAGACAGGGAGACAGACAGGUAGACAGACAGGUAGAGAGGUAGGCAGACAGACAGGGAGACAGACAGGUAGACAGACAGGCAGACAGACAGGGAGACAGACAGGUAGAGAGGUAGGCAGACAGACAGGUAGACAGACAGGUAGACAGACAGGGAGACAGACAGGUAGCA